UGGGGAAUAUUGGACAAUGGGCGAAAGCCUGAUCCAGCCAUGCCGCGUGUGUGAAGAAGGUCUUCGGAUUGUAAAGCACUUUAAGUUGGGAGGAAGGGCAUUAACCUAAUACGUUAGUGUUUUGACGUUACCGACAGAAUAAGCACCGGCUAACUCUGUGCCAGCAGCCGCGGUAAUACAGAGGGUGCAAGCGUUAAUCGGAAUUACUGGGCGUAAAGCGCGCGUAGGUGGUUUGUUAAGUUGGAUGUGCAAUCCCCGGGCUCAACCUGGGAACUGCAUUCAAAACUGACUGACUAGAGUAUGGUAGAGGGUGGUGGAAUUUCCUGUGUAGCGGUGAAAUGCGUAGAUAUAGGAAGGAACACCAGUGGCGAAGGCGACCACCUGGACUAAUACUGACACUGAGGUGCGAAAGCGUGGGGAGCAAACA
This 427-nucleotide ribosomal RNA is filed under the name uncultured bacterium. Its description in RNAcentral is "partial 16S ribosomal RNA". It matches the Rfam family "Bacterial small subunit ribosomal RNA", at positions 355 to 774 of the family's 1533-position model. The record is from RNAcentral.